This 89-nucleotide transfer RNA is filed under the name Ixodes scapularis (black-legged tick). It matches the Rfam family "tRNA". Rfam says of the family: Transfer RNA (tRNA) molecules are approximately 80 nucleotides in length. Lineage: Eukaryota; Metazoa; Arthropoda; Arachnida; Ixodida; Ixodidae. The record is from Rfam by way of RNAcentral.
CCGUCGAUAGCUCAGUUGGUAGAGCGGUGGACUGUAGAGGCAAACUUGCGGGUAUCCAUAGGUCGCUGGUUCGAAUCCGGCUCGACGGA